Molecule: ribosomal RNA, 476 nt
Filed under: uncultured organism
Description: partial 16S ribosomal RNA
Rfam family: Bacterial small subunit ribosomal RNA
Source: RNAcentral
ACACUCCUGCGGGAGGCAGCAGUGGGGAAUUUUGGACAAUGGGCGAAAGCCUGAUCCAGCAAUGCCGCGUGAGUGAAGAAGGCCUUCGGGUUGUAAAGCUCUUUUGUCAGGGAAGAAACGGUGAAAGCUAAUAUCUUUUGCUAAUGACGGUACCUGAAGAAUAAGCACCGGCUAACUACGUGCCAGCAGCCGCGGUAAUACGUAGGGUGCAAGCGUUAAUCGGAAUUACUGGGCGUAAAGCGUGCGCAGGCGGUUUUGUAAGUCUGAUGUGAAAUCCCCGGGCUCAACCUGGGAAUUGCAUUGGAGACUGCAAGGCUAGAAUCUGGCAGAGGGGGGUAGAAUUCCACGUGUAGCAGUGAAAUGCGUAGAUAUGUGGAGGAACACCGAUGGCGAAGGCAGCCCCCUGGGUCAAGAUUGACGCUCAUGCACGAAAGCGUGGGGAGCAAACAGGAUUAGAUACCCUGGUAGUCCCAUGA